GACGAACGCUGGCGGCGUGCUUAACACAUGCAAGUCGAACGAAGAGCGAUGGAUGCUUGCUUCUAUCAAUCUUAGUGGCGAACGGGUGAGUAACGCGUAAUCAACCUGCCCUUCAGAGGGGGACAACAGUUGGAAACGACUGCUAAUACCGCAUACGAUCUAACCUUGGCAUCGAGGAUGGAUGAAAGGUGGCCUCUAUUUAUAAGCUAUCACUGAAGGAGGGGAUUGCGUCUGAUUAGCUAGUUGGAGGGGUAACGGCCCACCAAGGCGAUGAUCAGUAGCCGGUCUGAGAGGAUGAACGGCCACAUUGGGACUGAGACACGGCCCAGACUCCUACGGGAGGCAGCAGUGGGGAAUCUUCCGCAAUGGACGAAAGUCUGACGGAGCAACGCCGCGUGAGUGAUGACGGCCUUCGGGUUGUAAAGCUCUGUUAAUCGGGACGAAAGGCCUUCUUGCGAAUAUUGAGAAGGAU
RNAcentral lists this ribosomal RNA (472 nucleotides) under Veillonella dispar. Its description in RNAcentral is "bacterial SSU rRNA". It matches the Rfam family "Bacterial small subunit ribosomal RNA", at positions 28 to 473 of the family's 1533-position model. Lineage: Bacteria; Bacillati; Bacillota; Negativicutes; Veillonellales; Veillonellaceae. The record is from RNAcentral.